This 253-nucleotide ribosomal RNA is filed under the name uncultured bacterium. RNAcentral's name for it is "partial 16S ribosomal RNA". It matches the Rfam family "Bacterial small subunit ribosomal RNA", at positions 524 to 776 of the family's 1533-position model. The record is from RNAcentral.
UACGUAGGGGGCUAGCGUUGUCCGGAUUUAUUGGGCGUAAAGAGCGUGUAGGCGGCCAGGUAGGUCCGCUGUGAAAGUCCGAGGCUCAACCUCGGAAUGUCGGCGGAAACCCUCUGGCUAGAGUCCGGAAGAGGAGAGUGGAAUUCCCGGUGUAGCGGUGAAAUGCGCAGAUAUCGGGAAGAACACCCGUGGCGAAGGCGGCUCUCUGGAACGGUACUGACGCUGAGACGCGAAAGCGUGGGGAGCGAACAGG